RNAcentral lists this ribosomal RNA (398 nucleotides) under uncultured bacterium. RNAcentral's name for it is "partial 16S ribosomal RNA". It matches the Rfam family "Bacterial small subunit ribosomal RNA", at positions 338 to 733 of the family's 1533-position model. The record is from RNAcentral.
CCUACGGGUGGCAGCAGUGAGGAAUAUUGGUCAAUGGGCGCGAGCCUGAACCAGCCAAGCAGCGUGAAGGAUGAAGGCACUACGGUUUGUAAACUUCUUUUGUCAGGGAAUAAAGUGAGGCACGUGUGCCUGUAUGUGUGUACUUUAUGAAUAAGGAUCGGCUAACUCCGUGCCAGAAGCCGCGGUAAUACGGAGGAUCCGAGCGUUAUCCGGAUUUAUUGGGUUUAAAAGGUGUGUAGAUGGGUUGUUAAGUCAGUUGUGAAAGUCUGGGGCUCAAACCUAGACUCGCAAUUGAUACUGGCAGUCUGGAGUUGAGUUGAGGUAGGCGGAAUGCGUGGUGUAGCGGUGAAAUGCAUAGAUAUCGCGAAGAACUCCGAUUGCGAAGGCAGCUUGCUAAA